This 634-nucleotide ribosomal RNA is filed under the name Camptobasidium sp. JAS-2021. RNAcentral describes it as "partial large subunit ribosomal RNA". Lineage: Eukaryota; Fungi; Basidiomycota; Microbotryomycetes; Kriegeriales; Camptobasidiaceae. The record is from RNAcentral.
UGCAUAUCAAAAAGCGGAGGAAAAGAAACUAACAAGGAUUCCCCUAGUAACGGCGAGUGAAGCGGGAAGAGCUCAAAUUUGUAAUCUGGCACUUUCAGUGUCCGAGUUGUAAUCUCGAGAAGUGUUUUCCGCGCCGGACCGCAUACAAGUCUGUUGGAAUACAGCGUCAUAGUGGUGAGAGCCCCGUAACUGAUGCGGAUGCCCGGUGCUUUGUGAUACACUUUCGAAGAGUCGAGUUGUUUGGGAAUGCAGCUCAAAUUGGGUGGUAAAUUCCAUCUAAAGCUAAAUAUUGGCGAGAGACCGAUAGCGAACAAGUACCGUGAGGGAAAGAUGAAAAGCACUUUGGAAAGAGAGUUAACAGUACGUGAAAUUGUUGGAAGGGAAACGCUUGAAGUCAGACUUGCUAUUCGGAAUUCAGCCGCAAGGUGUACUUUUCGAUUUGCAGGCCAGCAUCAGUUUUUGGGGGUGGAAAAGGGCGAGAGGAAGGUAGCAACCCCGGUUGUGUUAUAGCCUCUCGCUGGAUUCAUCCUCGGGGACUGAGGAUCGCAGCGCGCUUUAUUGCAAGGCUCUCGAGCUUUUCGCGCUUAGGAUGCUGGUGGAAUGGCUUUAAACGACCCGYCUUGAAACACGGACC